RNAcentral lists this ribosomal RNA (253 nucleotides) under uncultured bacterium. RNAcentral's name for it is "partial 16S ribosomal RNA". It matches the Rfam family "Bacterial small subunit ribosomal RNA", at positions 524 to 776 of the family's 1533-position model. The record is from RNAcentral.
UACGUAGGGUGCAAGCGUUGUCCGGAAUUAUUGGGCGUAAAGAGCUCGUAGGCGGUUUGUCGCGUCGGCUGUGAAAACUCGGGGCUCAACCCCGAGCCUGCAGUCGAUACGGGCAGACUAGAGUGCUGUAGGGGAGACUGGAAUUCCUGGUGUAGCGGUGGAAUGCGCAGAUAUCAGGAGGAACACCGGUGGCGAAGGCGGGUCUCUGGGCCGAUACUGACGCUGAGGAGCGAAAGCGUGGGGAGCGAACAGG